This 497-nucleotide ribosomal RNA is filed under the name uncultured bacterium. RNAcentral describes it as "partial 16S ribosomal RNA". It matches the Rfam family "Bacterial small subunit ribosomal RNA", at positions 28 to 507 of the family's 1533-position model. The record is from RNAcentral.
GAUGAACGCUGGCGGCGUGCCUAAUACAUGCAAGUCGAGCGAACAGACGAGGAGCUUGCUCCUCUGACGUUAGCGGCGGACGGGUGAGUAACACGUGGAUAACCUACCUAUAAGACUGGGAUAACUUCGGGAAACCGGAGCUAAUACUGGAUAAUAUAUUGAACCGCAUGGUUCAAUAGUGAAAGACGGUUUUGCUGUCACUUAUAGAUGGAUCCGCGCCGCAUUAGCUAGUUGGUAAGGUAACGGCUUACCAAGGCAACGAUGCGUAGCCGACCUGAGAGGGUGGUCGGCCACCCUGGAACUGAGACACGGUCCAGACUCCUACGGGAGGCAGCAGUAGGGAAUCUUCCGCAAUGGGCGAAAGCCUGACGGAGCAACGCCGCGUGAGUGAUGAAGGUCUUCGGAUCGUAAAACUCUGUUAUUAGGGAAGAACAAAUGUGUAAGUAACUAUGCACGGCUUGACGGUACCUAGUCAGAAAGCCACGGCUAACUACGUG